AUUGAACGCUGGCGGCAUGCUUUACACAUGCAAGUCGAACGGUAACAGGUUAAGCUGACGAGUGGCGAACGGGUGAGUAAUGCAUCGGGACGUGCCCGAGCGUGGGGGAUAACGCAGCGAAAGCUGCGCUAAUACCGCAUACGAUCCGAGGCUGACAGCGGGGGACCGUAGGGCCUCGCGCGAUCGGAACGGCCGGUGUCAGAUUAGGUAGUUGGUGGGGUAAAGGCUCACCAAGCCGACGAUCUGUAGCUGGUCUGGGAGGACGACCAGCCACACGGGGACUGUGACACGGCCCAGACUCCUACGGGAGGCAGCAGUGGGGAAUUUUGGACAAUGGGCGAAAGCCUGAUCCAGCAAUGCCGCGUGCAGGAAGAAGGCCUUCGGGUUGUAAACUGCUUUUGUACGGAGCGAAAAGGCUCUCUCUAAUACAGGGGGCUCAUGACGGUACCGUAAGAAUAAGCACCGGCUAACUACGUGCCAGCAGCCGCGGUAA
This 493-nucleotide ribosomal RNA is filed under the name uncultured bacterium. RNAcentral describes it as "partial 16S ribosomal RNA". It matches the Rfam family "Bacterial small subunit ribosomal RNA", at positions 29 to 523 of the family's 1533-position model. The record is from RNAcentral.